CUGACUGCUAUCGGAUUGGUACUAAGCCAUGCGAGUCAUUGUAGCAAUACAAGGCGGACGGCUCAGUAACACGUAGUCAACCUAACUCGUGGACGUGGAUAACCUCGGGAAACUGAGAAUAAACCACGAUAGAUCAUAGUGCCUGGAAUGGCUUAUGGUCCAAACAGUUUACUGCCAUGGGAUGGGACUGCGGCCUAUCAGCUUGUUGGUGAGGUAAUGGCCCACCAAGGCGAUUACAGGUACGGGCUCUGAGAGGAGAAGCCCGGAGAUGGGUACUGAGACACGGACCCAGGCCCUAUGGGGCGCAGCAGGCGAGUAACCUUAGCAAUGUGCGAAAGCACGACUGGGUCAGUCCGAGUGAUUCCUGAUAAAGGAGUCUUUUGCCUGUCCUAAAAGCACAGGUGAAUAAGGGGUGGGCAAGUCUGGUGUCAGCCGCCGCGGUAAUACCAGCACCUCGAGUGGUCAGGACGUUUAUUGGGCCUAAAGCAUCCGUAGCCGGCUCUGCAAGUCUUCGGUUAAAUCCACCUGCUCAACAGAUGGGCCGCUGGAGAUACUACAGAGCUAGGGAGUGGGAGAGGCAGACGGUAUUCAGUGGGUAGGGGUAAAAUCCUCUGAUCCAUUGAGGACCACCAGUGGCGAAGGCGGUCUGCCAGAACACGUUCGACGGUGAGGGAUGAAAGCUGGGGGAGCAAACCGGAUUAGAUACCCGGGUAGUCCCAGCUGUAAACGAUGCAAACUCGGUGAUGCAUUGGCUUAUGGCCAAUGCAGUGCCGCAGGGAAGCCGUUAAGUUUGCCGCCUGGGAAGUACGGACGCAAGUCUGAAACUUAA
RNAcentral lists this ribosomal RNA (829 nucleotides) under uncultured soil archaeon. Its description in RNAcentral is "bacterial SSU rRNA". It matches the Rfam family "Archaeal small subunit ribosomal RNA", at positions 23 to 859 of the family's 1478-position model. The record is from RNAcentral.